Molecule: small nucleolar RNA, 107 nt
Organism: Pistacia vera
Lineage: Eukaryota; Viridiplantae; Streptophyta; Magnoliopsida; Sapindales; Anacardiaceae
Source: RefSeq, a predicted model, not a curated record
AAACCGUGGUGUGGACACUUUCUCAAUAACUCCUUGUAUCUUUCCUAUGCCUCAUAUAAGGAUUCACUAUCGCUCUGAAUGAAGGAUGUUAUAUCAUCCCUCAUCUU